UACGUAGGGAGCGAGCGUUGUCCGGAAUCAUUGAGCGUAAAGGGCGCGUAGGCGGUCGUGACAAGUCACUUGUGAAAUCUCCGGGCUUAACUCGGAACGGUCAAGUGAUACUGUCGGACUAGAGUACAGAAGGGGCAACUGGAAUUCUCGGUGUAGCGGUGAAAUGCGUAGAUAUCGAGAGGAACACCUGCGGCGAAGGCGGGUUGCUGGGCUGAUACUGACGCUGGAGGCGCGAAAGCCAGGGGAGCGAACGGG
RNAcentral lists this ribosomal RNA (255 nucleotides) under uncultured bacterium. RNAcentral describes it as "partial 16S ribosomal RNA". It matches the Rfam family "Bacterial small subunit ribosomal RNA", at positions 524 to 776 of the family's 1533-position model. The record is from RNAcentral.